RNAcentral lists this ribosomal RNA (253 nucleotides) under uncultured bacterium. Its description in RNAcentral is "partial 16S ribosomal RNA". It matches the Rfam family "Bacterial small subunit ribosomal RNA", at positions 524 to 776 of the family's 1533-position model. The record is from RNAcentral.
UACAGAGGGUGCUAGCGUUGUUCGGAAUCAUUGGGCGUAAAGGGCGUGUAGGCGGUUUGUUAAGUCAUGUGUGAAAUCCCUCGGCUCAACCGGGGAACGACGCAUGAAACUGGCAAGCUAGAGUACCAAAGAGGGGGGUGGAAUUCCCGGUGUAGCGGUGAAAUGCGUAGAUAUGUGGAGGAAUACCAGUGGCGAAGGCGACUCUUUGGCCUGUAACUGACGCUGAGGCGCGAAAGCGUGGGGAGCAAACAGG